UGUUUUCAAAGGGCUGUAGCAGCAUUACCAGUACCCACAGUGGCCGGAGGGUGGAAGCAGCCCAGUUGUCCACAGACAGGUACUUGGAGUACUCACGGAGUGAUCAGAACCCCCUGGUCUGGCUGGAUGCCCAGAAAGGACGCCUCUUGGCUGUUAGAGUGCCUGCAGAAACACGCUCCCUGCGCCUCCCCCUCUCGGGGCUGCAGCGGCGCAGGCGCCGGCCAAGCCGAUCGCUGAGCGGGAGCAGGCGGCCGUGCUCCCGGCCGUCCCGGGGGAGCAGAUCCUCCUCAGAAUGGCGCUUGGAGCUGCAGGCCAGGUGGGCUCUGGGCCCGGACCCCGAGGGGGCACCGGAUGAGUGCCCUGCUGCAGGACCCUGCCACCCAUGACUCCAGGCCUUCAGCACCCACCCACCGUGGUACAGACACAUAUCAAGUCCAUCUGCAUAUUUCCCAGGUCACCAUCCUGGUCCAUCUGCUGCUGUCUUCUGUCCAGACCACUGGGGUAGCCACCUCACUACCUCAGUCUGGCCCCCUGCCCCAAGCCCCAACUCACCAGGGCAUUCACAAUGGGCUUCCUGAAACACGACCUGGCCUGUCUUCCAUGUCCUCGUGGCCUUCAAAUGACUGCCCUCGCUCACGGCCUUCACACAUGCUAUUCCCUUUGCCAGCAAUACUCUUUCAGCUCCCUUCACCUGCCUAAGUAUGCUCAUUCUUCAAGGCCAGACUUAAAUGCCACUCCUUCUGGGGACACUUUUUCACUCCACGAUUAAUGUAAAGUCAGUCCCACCUUCUUAUGUACCAGAAAUUUAAAUAUUUCAUUGUAGAGCUCCUUAAAGGCACAGACUGCAUGCAUCUGUCUUGUUCCGCAUAGUACACAAAAAUAUUUCUUGAAUGAGCGAGUGAAUAAAUGAGGCAGUCAGAGA
Molecule: long non-coding RNA, 922 nt
Organism: Eptesicus fuscus (big brown bat)
Lineage: Eukaryota; Metazoa; Chordata; Mammalia; Chiroptera; Vespertilionidae
Exons: 5
Source: RefSeq, a predicted model, not a curated record